Molecule: small RNA, 73 nt
Filed under: Salix viminalis (osier)
Lineage: Eukaryota; Viridiplantae; Streptophyta; Magnoliopsida; Malpighiales; Salicaceae
Source: RNAcentral
AAGUAACUCCGGCAAUGUUCAAAAAAUUAAAAAAAAAAUAAUCAAAAAAUUUGAAACACGUUGUCGGAGUUAC